Xiphophorus hellerii (green swordtail) is the source of this 226-nucleotide long non-coding RNA. RefSeq lists it as uncharacterized. The transcript is spliced from 3 exons. Lineage: Eukaryota; Metazoa; Chordata; Actinopteri; Cyprinodontiformes; Poeciliidae. The record is from RefSeq and is a predicted model, not a curated record.
AAUUCAGUAGCUUCUGUGAGCUAAGAAAAUAAGAUAGAAAACAACAGAGGCACCAACAGGAGCAGCAGGGUGGGACUGGUGCUGCUGGUGCUGCUGCAAUAGUUGCCCUGGCAGCAGCUAAUCUUUGCUCCAGAGGCCUGUGAAGUUAACUGAUUCAACAUUGAAGAAAAAUGAUCUGAGCACACCAACUCAGAGCCACAUCCCUUCACUACCAGACUUACUCCUU